RNAcentral lists this small RNA (992 nucleotides) under Pan troglodytes (chimpanzee). Its description in RNAcentral is "retained intron". Lineage: Eukaryota; Metazoa; Chordata; Mammalia; Primates; Hominidae. The record is from RNAcentral.
AACUGUGCGAACCAGACCCGGCAGUCUUGCUCAGUUCAGCAUAGCGGAGCGGAUCCGAGCGGAUCGGAGCGGAUAGGAGCACACCGGAGCAGGCUCAUCGAGAGGGCGUCUGCGAGACCAUGGAGAACGGAUACACAUAUGAAGAUUAUAAGAACACUGCAGAAUGGCUUCUGUCUCACACUAAGCACCGACCUCAAGUUGCAAUAAUCUGUGGUUCUGGAUUAGGAGGUCUGACUGAUAAAUUAACUCAGGCCCAGAUCUUUGACUACAGUGAAAUCCCCAACUUUCCCCGAAGUACAGUGCCAGGUCAUGCUGGCCGACUGGUGUUUGGAUUCCUGAAUGGCAGGGCCUGUGUGAUGAUGCAGGGCAGGUUCCACAUGUAUGAAGGGUACCCACUCUGGAAGGUAAGUCAGGGGGAUAGGCCCGGUUGGAUCUGGAAGAGGCAGGAGAGAACUAUCUAGCCUCUUUCGCUACCUAGCUAUCUGGGCUAGGGGGAUUUUUGGUCCUCUCCUUCCUUUUCUUUCACGAUGUAUGUCAUGCAUUUCAGUGUAGCUGAAUUAAUGAAAUUUUGUAAAUUUUUUUCUGAUCUUUUGCUUCGAAGGUGACAUUCCCAGUGAGGGUUUUCCACCUCCUGGGUGUGGACACCCUGGUAGUCACCAAUGCAGCAGGAGGGCUGAACCCCAAGUUUGAGGUUGGAGAUAUCAUGCUGAUCCGUGACCAUAUCAACCUACCUGGUUUCAGUGGUCAGAACCCUCUCAGAGGGCCCAAUGAUGAAAGGUAUGUAUGUUACUCCGUUUUUUUUAGGUGGGUAGGAUUUAAAGACUUCUCUAGGAGCUGUGGGAGAAUUUUUUAAAUUCCGUUUAUGUGAGAUAAUUCAACCUGUGUCCUAGGUUUGGAGAUCGUUUCCCUGCCAUGUCUGAUGCCUACGACCGGACUAUGAGGCAGAGGGCUCUCAGUACCUGGAAACAAAUGGGGGAGCAACGUGAGCUACA